CGCGUAGAGAUAGGGAGGCACACCAGUGGAGAAGGAGACUUUGGGGUCUGUAAGACACAGUGAGGCGAGAAAGCGUGGGGAGCACACAGGAUUAGAUCCCGUGGUUGUCCACGCCGUAAACGAAGAGUGAUAAGUGUGAGAGGGUUUCCCCCCUUUAGUGGUGAAGUUAACGCUUUACGCACUCCGCGUGGGGAGUACGGCCGCAAGGGUGAAACUCAAAGGAAUUGACGGGGGCCCGCACAAGCGGUGGCGCAUGUGGUUUAAUUAGAAGCAACGAGAAGAACCUUCCCAGGUCUUGACAUUCUGUGAAAACCCGAGAGAUAGGGUUUCUCUUUCGGGAGCAGAGUGACAGGUGGUGCAUGGUUGUCGUCAGCUCGUGUCGUGAGAUGUUGGGUUAAGUCCCGCAACGAGCGCAACCCUUGAUCUUAGUUGCCAUCAUUAAGUUGGGCACUCUAAGGUGACUGCCGGUGACAAACCGGAGGAAGGUGGGGAUGACGUCAAAUCAUCAUGCCCCUUAUGACCUGGGCUACACACGUGCUACAAUGGACGGUACAAAGAGCUGCAAGACCGCGAAGGUGGAGCGUAAUCUCAUAAAACCGUUCUCAGUUCGGAUUGUAGGCUGCAACUCGCCUACAUGAAGCCCUGGAAUCGCUAGUAAUCGCGGAUCAGCAUGCCCGCCGAUGCCGCG
RNAcentral lists this ribosomal RNA (688 nucleotides) under Bacillus cereus. RNAcentral describes it as "bacterial SSU rRNA". It matches the Rfam family "Bacterial small subunit ribosomal RNA", at positions 687 to 1370 of the family's 1533-position model. The record is from RNAcentral. Lineage: Bacteria; Bacillati; Bacillota; Bacilli; Caryophanales; Bacillaceae.